CCUAACCCUAACCCUAACCCUGACCCUGACCGUAACGGUAAACGUCCGUCUGCGGGAACAAUGUCACAUCCGGAUCUGUACCGUAGCGCGUUCCGGCAGCUGCACCAGUACUCUGGGAGAGUGGUUUUCGUCAUGUCCAUAAGGUGCGCGUCAGCAUGUUCAAUGGCGACCUCUUUUAUGACCUCAGCGGAGCAUGGUGAAUCGAUGAGUGCGCGAAAGGAGCUGGAAAGGUGCAACACAGGAGUCAGGGUCCCGCGCUAUGUAGGUUGAUGCCGUCCGUUGCGUGCAUUAGGCCUUUAAGUUGCCCGUCGUGGGGGCUGCUUGGGUCGCCGGACGCAGCCGUAUGUUUCGCCGUUGCGUAGAGAACUGUGAAACGCAUCCGCACACCUCUUCAGCACUCGCUGGGCAUCGACUCAAGGAAGGAUGGAAACACGGGAACGACGACAAGCGGCCUGGUGAGCUGGAGGUUCGGAGAAUCCGUUGCGACUGCUGGCAUGCCAGCGAACUCAGCUAGAAGCUUUUUAAGAAUCUGCACGGCGCCGCGGCUCCAUCGCGACAGCUCUUGUGAUUGAUGGCGAAAGGAUGACGCUUGCUGAACAGACAAACGAGCGAGAAGGCGCCGCUGCCGCUAUCCUGCCGGAGUCUCUCCAGGGGAGACGGCUGAGGAAUGGAAGGGUAGCCGUACAGCCUGCGCUCUCUGGUGAGUCCUUGGAUUGUCGCAGGGGCUUUCAGCGUAAGCGUUGUUUUCGCCACACACUGAAGUGCACCAUUUCGCACCGACGAAGGCUCUGUACGCAGAAUUUUUUUCGCCGAGUUGCCGGCCUGCUAUGGAAGCUGCCCACCCUGCCGCGCAACGGCCUACUCCAACCCCCCCACAUGAUUUUGCGGCGUGUUUUGGAUGACUAGAUUUUCGGGAGUCGUUGCAAACCUUCUUGCUAGCAGGGAUGCUUUGGGAGCGGCUACAGAUUCACUCGCCUGACUCCAUCGUCACUGCAGGCAGCUCACAUACGGGGGGAUUUUCCGGUGAUUGCUGUGAUGCCGAUGCCGUAUCGGUGACGCUGCUGCGGCCACUGUUCCGUGAGCCUUGCUGUGGAAGAGUCUCUACGUUUUGAGGGUGGAGCUUAGGCCAGCUGGAAAGGUCGACGCUGUGGAAAGGAGCAGGAUCGCAUGCGGGGAAUUUCUUCGGUGCAUGAACACCGCGCAGGUUUUCACUUUGUGAAACGAGGAGAUGCGCCUAGAAGGCUCUUCUUAAUGCUCUGCUGUGUUGCGCCAAAGGGAGUGAGCAAUACUGGUUUUUCUCCAGACGGAAGCCGCUUGACUGUCCCUGGCUGGGCAACUGAAUCCUCAGCAUGUCCGUGUCCGACUCUCCUGCACCGUAAUUUUGAAACAUGGAUUCUCCCAUAUUAACGGACACAGUGUUUCCUCCGUGAAAUUUGCACUGAUUGGACUGUUCUGUGCUGAUGUUACUUUAUUCUGAACGUGCUAUGUCGCCGCGGCGGAGACGUCUACUCCUCUUCCAGAAGGAUGCUCGUUGCGAACACCUUACGGCGUAGAAUAGAGUGCAGCAUGAGCACAGGCAUGUGCUGCUAAGCACUCGGCGUCCCUUGUGGUGCAUAUGGUGGCUCCAGCAAAUGUACUUUUUGAGCCGUUCGUGCGCUCUGGCUUUGUGCCACAACCCCUCGCUCUUUCUCCGCUUGUCGCUGCCCUAUCUAUACACACUCAAAAG
RNAcentral lists this unclassified non-coding RNA (1726 nucleotides) under Leishmania donovani. RNAcentral's name for it is "gene:unknown". The record is from RNAcentral. Lineage: Eukaryota; Euglenozoa; Kinetoplastea; Trypanosomatida; Trypanosomatidae.